GGUCAAAUCACAAUGAAAACACUGGUUCUCAUUUGCUCACUGAAGUUAAGCAGUAUUGAGCCUGGCCAGUACUUAGAUGGGAACACCAGGUACU
Acanthosepion pharaonis is the source of this 94-nucleotide non-coding RNA. The record is from the annotation of a GenBank genome assembly. NCBI's taxonomy places the organism in Eukaryota, Metazoa, Mollusca, Cephalopoda, Sepiida, Sepiidae.